GAUGAACGUUGGCGGUGUGCCUAAUACAUGCAAGUCGAACGGAGACUGUAGCAAUACUGUCUUAGUGGCGAACGGGUGAGUAACGCGUUGGUGAUCUGCCUCGAAGUGUGGAAUAACCUCCCGAAAGGGAAGCUAAUACCGCAUAGUCUCUCAAGGUUUAGAAAAUUGAGAGUAAAGGAUUUAUUCGCUUCGAGAGGAGCCUGCGUCCCAUCAGCUAGUUGGUGGGGUAACGGCCUACCAAGGCUUAGAUGGGUAGCCGGCCUGAGAGGGUGAACGGCCACACUGGGACUGAGACACGGCCCAGACUCCUACGGGAGGCAGCAGUGAGGAAUUUUGCGCAAUGGGGGAAACCCUGACGCAGCGACGCCGCGUGGAGGAUGAAGGCCUUCGGGUCGUAAACUCCUGUCAGAGGUGAAGAAUACCGCAAGGGUUGACGGUAACCUCAGAGGAAGCCCGGCUAACUACGUG
Molecule: ribosomal RNA, 468 nt
Filed under: uncultured bacterium
Lineage: Bacteria
Description: bacterial SSU rRNA
Rfam family: Bacterial small subunit ribosomal RNA
Source: RNAcentral